GUGGGGAAUCUUGCGCAAUGGGCGAAAGCCUGACGCAGCCAUGCCGCGUGAAUGAUGAAGGUCUUAGGAUUGUAAAAUUCUUUCACCGGGGACGAUAAUGACGUUACCCGGAGAAGAAGCUCCGGCUAACUUCGUGCCAGCAGCCGCGGUAAUACGAAGGGGGCUAGCGUUGCUCGGAAUUACUGGGCGUAAAGGGCGCGUAGGCGGACAGCUUAGUCAGAGGUGAAAGCCCAGGGCUCAACCUUGGAAUUGCCUUUGAGACUGGCUGUCUUGAGUUUGGGAGAGGUGAGUGGAACUCCGAGUGUAGAGGUGAAAUUCGUAGAUAUUCGGAAGAACACCAGUGGCGAAGGCGACUCACUGGCCCAAUACUGACGCUGAGGCGCGAAAGCGUGGGGAGCAAACAGGAUUAGAUACCCGUGUAGUCC
Molecule: ribosomal RNA, 425 nt
Filed under: uncultured bacterium
Lineage: Bacteria
Description: partial 16S ribosomal RNA
Rfam family: Bacterial small subunit ribosomal RNA
Source: RNAcentral